This 258-nucleotide ribosomal RNA is filed under the name Triticum aestivum (bread wheat). RNAcentral describes it as "partial small subunit ribosomal RNA". The record is from RNAcentral. Lineage: Eukaryota; Viridiplantae; Streptophyta; Magnoliopsida; Poales; Poaceae.
AUGGGCGAGGAGGCGUGCACGCUGCGGGUGCGGCUCCCGGACGGACGGUUCAUCUGCAAGACCUUCGGCGCCGGCCGUCCGGCGACGGCGCUGUUCCGGUACUGCUACUCGGCGCUUACCACCUGGGCAGCCGCGACGCGGCCGUUUCGGCUCCUGAAGCUCGCCGGUGGACAAACCGAUGAGAUACGCCCGGACGAGUCGCCGCUGCGGGACCUCGGGCUGCACCAUUGCACCAUCCACCUGGUCUUCUGGGUUUAG